UCCAUAGGUCCUCCAGAGUCC
This 21-nucleotide microRNA is filed under the name Saccoglossus kowalevskii. RNAcentral's name for it is "sko-miR-4830d-3p". The record is from miRBase by way of RNAcentral. Lineage: Eukaryota; Metazoa; Hemichordata; Enteropneusta; Harrimaniidae.